This 286-nucleotide small RNA is filed under the name Paramesorhizobium deserti. RNAcentral's name for it is "5' ureB small RNA". It matches the Rfam family "5' ureB small RNA". Lineage: Bacteria; Pseudomonadati; Pseudomonadota; Alphaproteobacteria; Hyphomicrobiales; Phyllobacteriaceae. The record is from Rfam by way of RNAcentral.
UCCUCGAUCUGUUGCGGGCAGAUGAAGUGGAUAUGCGCGUCGAAGCCGCCUGCGGUGAGGAUCUUGCCCUCGCCGGCGAUGGCUUCGGUGCCGGGGCCGACGAUGAUGGUGACGCCGGGCUGCGUAUCCGGGUUGCCGGCCUUGCCGAUCGCGGCGAUGCGACCAUCCUUCAGGCCGAUAUCGGCCUUGUAGAUGCCGGAUACGUCGACGACGAGCGCAUUGGUGAUGACUGUGUCGACCGCGCCGUCGGCACGCGCCGCCUGGCUCUGGCCCAUGCCGUCGCGGA